AGAGAUGCAUUGGGUUUAAAGUGUGCGCAGGCGGUUUUGUAAGACAGAGGUGAAAUCCCCGGGCUCAACCUGGGAACCGCCUUUGUGACUGCAAGGCUGGAGUGCGGCAGAGGGGGAUGGAAUUCCGCGUGUAGCAGUGAAAUGCGUAGAUAUGCGGAGGAACACCGAUGGCGAAGGCAAUCCCCUGGGCCUGCACUGACGCUCAUGCACGAAAGCGUGGGGAGCAAACA
This 230-nucleotide ribosomal RNA is filed under the name uncultured Alicycliphilus sp. Its description in RNAcentral is "partial 16S ribosomal RNA". It matches the Rfam family "Bacterial small subunit ribosomal RNA", at positions 548 to 774 of the family's 1533-position model. The record is from RNAcentral. Lineage: Bacteria; Pseudomonadati; Pseudomonadota; Betaproteobacteria; Burkholderiales; Comamonadaceae.